ACGCUCCACCCGUUGUGGUGCUCCCCCGCCAAUUCCUUUAAGUUUCAGCCUUGCGGCCGUACUUCCCAGGUGGCUCGCUUCACGGCUUCCCUACGGCACCGACAACGGUCGCACCGUGGCCGACACCUAGCGAGUAUCGUUUACGGCUAGGACUACCCGGGUAUCUAAUCCGGUUCGUGCCCCUAGCUUUCGUCCCUUGCCGUCAGGUCCGUUCUGGUGAGACGCCUUCGCCACUGGUGGUCCUUCAAGGAUUACAAGAUUUCACCCCUACCCCUGAAGUACCUCUCACCUCUCCCGGCCUCGAGCCGAACAGUAUCUCCUGAAAGCCCAACAGUUGAGCUGCUGGAUUUCUCAAGAGACUUAUCCGGCCGGCUACAGACCCUUUAGACCCAAUAAUAACGGUUACCACUCGAGCCGCCGGUGUUACCGCGGCGGCUGGCACCGGUCUUGCCCGGCCCUUGCUAUGCAAUGCUUUUUAGGCAUCACGACAGCCAGAUUUGUAACCUGGCACUCGAGGUCCCCUUAUCGCCGUUGCCGGCAUUGUAAAGUUUUCGCGCCUGCUGCACCCCGUAGGGCCUGGAUUCGUGUCUCAGAAUCCAUCUCCGGGCUCUUGCUCUCACAACCCGUACCCGUCGUAGGCUAGUAGGUACGCUACACCCACUACUACCUGAUAGGCCGCAGACCCAUCCUCUGGCGCCGGAGCUUUCGAUCUCGGGGCAUUCCAACGACCGAGAUCUAUCGGGGAUUAUACCCAGUUCCCGGGUUUAUACCCGUCCGGAGGGUAGGUUGCCACG
This 794-nucleotide ribosomal RNA is filed under the name uncultured archaeon. RNAcentral's name for it is "partial 16S ribosomal RNA". The record is from RNAcentral.